This 496-nucleotide ribosomal RNA is filed under the name uncultured bacterium. RNAcentral's name for it is "bacterial SSU rRNA". It matches the Rfam family "Bacterial small subunit ribosomal RNA", at positions 17 to 518 of the family's 1533-position model. The record is from RNAcentral.
UUAUGGCUCAGGAUGAACGCUGGCGGCGUGCUUAACACAUGCAAGUCGAACGGAGUUUUAACGGAAGUUUCGGAUGGAAGUUAGAACUAGUGGCGGACGGGUGAGUAACGCGUGGGUAACCUGCCUCAUACAGGGGGAUAACAGUUAGAAAUGACUGCUAACACCGCAUAAUAUAGCGAAACCGCAUGAUUUUGCUAUCAAAUAUUUAUAGGUAUGAGAUGGGCCCGCGUCUGAUUAGCUAGUUGGUGGGGUAAAAGCCUACCAAGGCGACGAUCAGUAGCCGGCUUGAGAGAGUGACCGGCCACAUUGGGACUGAGACACGGCCCAAACUCCUACGGGAGGCAGCAGUGGGGAAUAUUGGACAAUGGGGGAAACCCUGAUCCAGCGAACCGCCGCGUGAGUGAAGAAGUAUUUCGGUAUGUAAAGCUCUAUCAGCAGGGAAGAUAAUGACAGUACCUGACUAAGAAGCCCCGGCUAACUACGUGCCAGCCGCUGC